RNAcentral lists this ribosomal RNA (465 nucleotides) under Vreelandella stevensii. RNAcentral describes it as "partial 16S ribosomal RNA". It matches the Rfam family "Bacterial small subunit ribosomal RNA", at positions 338 to 795 of the family's 1533-position model. Lineage: Bacteria; Pseudomonadati; Pseudomonadota; Gammaproteobacteria; Oceanospirillales; Halomonadaceae. The record is from RNAcentral.
CCUACGGGAGGCAGCAGUGGGGAAUAUUGGACAAUGGGCGAAAGCCUGAUCCAGCCAUGCCGCGUGUGUGAAGAAGGCCUUCGGGUUGUAAAGCACUUUCAGUGGGGAAGAAAGCCUUGGGGCUAAUACCCUCGAGGAAGGACAUCACCCACAGAAGAAGCACCGGCUAACUCCGUGCCAGCAGCCGCGGUAAUACGGAGGGUGCGAGCGUUAAUCGGAAUUACUGGGCGUAAAGCGCGCGUAGGCGGUCUGAUAAGCCGGUUGUGAAAGCCCCGGGCUCAACCUGGGAACGGCAUCCGGAACUGUCAGGCUAGAGUGCAGGAGAGGAAGGUAGAAUUCCCGGUGUAGCGGUGAAAUGCGUAGAGAUCGGGAGGAAUACCAGUGGCGAAGGCGGCCUUCUGGACUGGCACUGACGCUGAGGUGCGAAAGCGUGGGUAGCAAACAGGAUUAGAUACCCGAGUAGUC